UUAGUUAGAGAUAGGGGCAUUUUGGGGAGUUGAACUUUGGGGUGGGGAAAUAAAUGUAUGGGAGGGGGGAAAUAGAAAUCUAUCUAGUGGCUGGUGAAGUCUGUGAGGAGAGUUACUGGGUCUCUCGAAUUUCCCAGGAAGCUGUUCACUCGCCUUCAUCAAUAAAAUUCUGCAUUAUAGUUCCUUUUUAUUCAUCCAUACUUGUGCCUUUAAUCCUUUGUUUCCAUUUAUAAGUACAGAAAAUACAGGAUCCUAUCAAACUACUUACAGAGAUAUGCAAGUCAUUGCCUGUAGUUAUUUAUGUCCCUCAAAUUGAUUAGGUAGUUGGCGGCUAUCUUUACCUACAUAUGGCCCGAAGAUUUUAAGAAGAUAUGAGACUCGUAAGUUGUCUUAGGGAGAAUUUGACGACUGAGAACGUGUAUGUGAGUAUGUCUGACAGGUAGGAUUCUUCGUGAGAUCCAGGCAGUUCAAUACAAGCUUGAAUCAAUCAUUUCUUGCUGCUUCAGUGCUUCAUGAACUCCAGAUUUAAGGAGCUCCUUUUGCUUUUAUAUGGUUCAGACAACAUUGAACUUCUUUGUCCUUGCCUCUAUCUUUGUGAAUCGAUUCUUUUUUCUCUGCUUGAAAAACAAAGAAUUCCUCUGUUUACUGCAGGAGUUUUAAAUUUUUUAUCAUAGUCCUUGUUACUAUGCUGUAUAACAAUGAGAGUCUAUUUACUGUUUUGGCUGGAAAUCAGGGCAAGAAUUGGAAAGUUACAAGAAAGAACAAAGUGAAAUGAAAAU
Molecule: long non-coding RNA, 779 nt
Filed under: Olea europaea subsp. europaea
Lineage: Eukaryota; Viridiplantae; Streptophyta; Magnoliopsida; Lamiales; Oleaceae
Source: RNAcentral